CAAGUUAUAGCUUACACUUAAAGCACCUUGCUUACACCAAGAAGACGUCUGCUAAUACCUGACUAACUUGAG
RNAcentral lists this transfer RNA (72 nucleotides) under Strabomantis anomalus (Choco robber frog). RNAcentral describes it as "tRNA-Val". Lineage: Eukaryota; Metazoa; Chordata; Amphibia; Anura; Strabomantidae. The record is from RNAcentral.